This 1540-nucleotide long non-coding RNA is filed under the name Equus asinus (donkey). Its description in RNAcentral is "lncRNA (ENSEASG00005037420.1)". Lineage: Eukaryota; Metazoa; Chordata; Mammalia; Perissodactyla; Equidae. The record is from RNAcentral.
GUCACACUACCUCCUCCUAUCCUGGCUAGGCCGUCAAUUUAGAGCGAACAUAUUAGAUGAAAAAGAGUUAAGAAGUACAUUUCGGUCACCAGACAGUCUCAGGCUGUGAAAGGCUGUUUCGUUUUCUCUUCUCUUCGUAUGCUCUUGGUGCCUUUACCGCUGGCGUAUACAGGAAGAAAACGUCUUUCCAGGAAGGCCGCGGAGGCUCUUUAAGCUUCACCAGAGCAAUGCUGAACAAUACACACAGAGGCACACUGGAAACGCAAUAGAACAAUGGCUGCCAAUUUAAAAGCAGAAGUUAAGAAGAGCAAACCCGAAUGUACAGCGAGAGAGCUUCGGGCUGGAUCAGCUCCCGGCAGAAGCGAGACUGGAAAUCUUGGAUUCUGUUGCCUCUUCUCUCCUCUGUGAUGUGGAAGAAGAUGUCAGCACCUGGGUGUGGACUUGGUCAUUAACGCUUAUUUCCCAACCUUUGCCAAGCUGCCUAACUCCCUGGAGUCUUAGUUUUCUCAUGUGUGGGAGACAAUGUGUUCUUUAUCCUGAAGUCAUUGUGAGGACUGAGUGAGAGGAUGUAUGUGGAAGGAAGCACCAAGCAUGGUUCCUGGUAUAUACUAGGUACUCAGUAAAUGUGGACUAGCGUGAAUAUGAACUCCACUCACUUCGUGCCCCCUCAUGCUGGCUGGUCCCCGGUGCUCUGGGCUUCCCAAGUCAUGGCAGUUUUCCCAAAGUGGCCCCUAAAGUCAUGUCAGUCCUUGGGGCCUCAUUACUUAGGUUUCCUGUGCCAUCUGCUCCUUUCCAGUCAUAGAUUCCAUGCUCCGUUCUGACAGAAGCUUGCUUCUGCUGGCUGUCACACUUAAAAAGUGGCGGAUGACCAUUCGAGCGUUAGAUGAUAAUGAUUUAUGAACACCAUCCCUCCAGACAGCAUUUGCAGUAUUACAAGUUUUGCUUUUAUUUUAUUUGUCACUAGGAAGGCACUGAGAACAAAAGGAAACUCUCUUGAAUGGUGGGAUCGAGGCACUGUAGCACAUUUUUUAUGGAGGGGAAGGAGGCUUUUCACCUGGAAACCUUUCAAAUCACACCCUAUAAGUAGCUCACGAGUCUCUCUACUCAUACUGAUCUCUUCAUCUGCUGAGUUGAACAGUGUCCCCCAAAUUCAUGGCCACCCGGGACCUGUGAAUGUGACCUUAUUUGGAAAUAGGGUCAUUGCAGAUAUACUCAAAUUAAGACAAGGCCAUAUUGGAUUAGGGGGAGCCCUAAAUUCAAUAUGACUGGAGUCUUUAUAAGAAGAGGAAAAUUUGGCCACAGAGAUAUAGACCUACGGGGUAUCAGGCCCUGUGAAGACAGAGUCAGAGAUUGGAACGAGGUGUCAAGUCAAGGAUCAACAAGGAUUGCUGACAACCAGAGCAAGAUGGAAGAGGCAAGGAAGGGCUCUUCCUUAGAGACUUCAGAAGGAACAGGCCCUGCCAACACCUUGACUGUGGACUUCUAGCCUCCAGAACUUUGAGGGAAUAAAUUUCUGUUGUUUCAAGCCGCCCAGUCUAUG